This 301-nucleotide ribosomal RNA is filed under the name uncultured bacterium. RNAcentral's name for it is "partial 16S ribosomal RNA". It matches the Rfam family "Bacterial small subunit ribosomal RNA", at positions 509 to 807 of the family's 1533-position model. The record is from RNAcentral.
CAGCCGCCGCGGUAAUACGGAGGGUGCAAGCGUUAAUCGGAAUUACUGGGCGUAAAGCGCGCGUAGGUGGUUUGUUAAGUUGGAUGUGAAAUCCCCGGGCUCAACCUGGGAACUGCAUCCAAAACUGGCAAGCUAGAGUAUGGUAGAGGGUGGUGGAAUUUCCUGUGUAGCGGUGAAAUGCGUAGAUAUAGGAAGGAACACCAGUGGCGAAGGCGACCACCUGGACUGAUACUGACACUGAGGUGCGAAAGCGUGGGGAGCAAACAGGAUUAGAUACCCGAGUAGUCCCUGUCUCUUAUAC